CUCGCAGCAAGCCGCAAGUACCCGUCUACAAAACAGGUUCAAGCCUCGCGCGCGAGCCUGGGACACCAAUGCGGGUGGGAAAUUCGGUGGUUCUCCCCAUCCCGCUUUCCCUUCCAAGGGAAAGUGAACGUUUUGCUCCUGAGAGCUUCCUGGGCGUAGAAAGUUACGCCGGGCGUCGCCAUCAGAAACUUCGUCUCCAAGCAGCGCUUCGCUGGCUUGUGGGCAUGGGAGGCGGCGCGGAUGGUUGGUCUUCUGUCCGUUGGCGGGACCUUGUUCUGCCCUUGGAUGGAAAGGCUGUUGAGUGCAAUUUGCGGCCCCUGGCACCCGAUACCGAUCAAUGCUGCGAG
Molecule: RNase P RNA, 347 nt
Filed under: Candidozyma auris
Lineage: Eukaryota; Fungi; Ascomycota; Pichiomycetes; Serinales; Metschnikowiaceae
Description: Candida auris Nuclear RNase P
Rfam family: Nuclear RNase P
About the family: Ribonuclease P (RNase P) is a ubiquitous endoribonuclease, found in archaea, bacteria and eukarya as well as chloroplasts and mitochondria. Its best characterised activity is the generation of mature 5'-ends of tRNAs by cleaving the 5'-leader elements of precursor-tRNAs.
Source: Rfam by way of RNAcentral